CACGUAAUUAGCCGGACCUUAUUCGUAUAGUACUGUCAUUUUCUUCCUAUACAAAAGAUUUUUACAACCCGAAGGCCUUCUAAAUCACGCGGCGUCGCUGCAUCAGGGUUCCCCCAUUGUGCAAAAUUCCCCACUGCUGCCUCCCGUAGGAGUCUGGGCCGUGUCUCAGUCCCAAUGUGGCCGUACACUCUCUCAAGCCGGCUACUGAUCGUUGCCUUGGUGGGCUUUUUCUCACCAACUAGCUAAUCAGACGCAAGUCCAUCUUACACUGCUAACACUUUGACUAUCGCUUCAUGCGAAGUGAUAGUUUCAUAGGGUAUUAUUCGUCGUUUCCAACGGCUAUCCCCUUGUGUAAGGCAGGUUACUCACGCGUUACUCACCCGUCCGCCACUAAUCCAAUUAUUUUCAUUCCGAAGAGUCUAAUAAUCUUCAUCGUUCGACUUGCUAUGUGUUAUGCACGCCGCCAGCGUUAAUCCUGAGCCAGGAUACAAACUCU
Molecule: ribosomal RNA, 496 nt
Filed under: uncultured Anaerococcus sp.
Lineage: Bacteria; Bacillati; Bacillota; Tissierellia; Tissierellales; Peptoniphilaceae
Description: partial 16S ribosomal RNA
Source: RNAcentral